Molecule: long non-coding RNA, 934 nt
Organism: Myzus persicae (green peach aphid)
Lineage: Eukaryota; Metazoa; Arthropoda; Insecta; Hemiptera; Aphididae
Exons: 3
Source: RefSeq, a predicted model, not a curated record
GCGACCAGUCAGACUGCGUUCGCCGGGUCGCGUGGUAUCGUCGUCGCGUUCCGGAGACGAUCGCUCAUCGACGACGACUACGUACGUCGACGUCGACGUAGUUUAACGGUUAUCAAUUUUUUUGAAUUUUUCGUCAAAACAAUAAUAUUAUUAAUAUUAUUAUGUUGGUGUUACCCGUAUUAUGUGUGAGUCCCGAACCCCGUCGUCUUGAUUUUUAAAUUUAACUGUACGAAUUCGUGAAUUGUUGCGUGCGUGAAUUUGCGUCCGAGAAUAAAACUAAUUCGUUUAGUUGUAGUGUAGUUGUUUAAAAAAAAAAAUUGUAUUAGUUUCAAGUGUACUUUACAUGUGCUAGUGUGUGUGGUGAAUCGUUUUCUCCAACGGAAUUAUGACGGAUUCGAAUACGGUGAUCGAAGGCACCGUCAAAUUUCGUGAUGGAAAAAAGUGGAAGUCAAGAUGGUGCGUUAUGCGAAAGCUGUCUCCAGUUGCAGGUAAUGUUGAAAAAUCAUGAACAGUCGUAGUAAUCUUACCGCGAUCGAAGAAACUAAAAUGUUGACCCAUACAUUUUUCAUAAUUUUCAUUCCGUAUCUAUCGAACAUAAAUCACUUGUUUUUAAUGGUCCGAUCACUUAAGCGCUACUCACUCUUCUCACUGUCGAUAUGAUAUACGAUGUAAAAUGCAAGUUCCCAAAAUAUUAUCCAUCACAAAAUCAUGAAGUUAUAUAUGUUUGUAAUUUGACCGCGUGUCCCAUCGAAAAAUAAUGCAUCAAUUGGAAAAAAAUGGAGUAAGUAAAAAUCAUAAGAAACUUCGAACUUCUAAGUUCAACACAUCCGUAGUUUAGACAACAAAUUAGUGUUGUCGGCUUAUUUUAUUUUCUUGAACAAUGACGUAUUAUUAUGAUUCAUACAUCACAAAAAAUAUUAAAUUAUAGUUGUUA